This is a non-coding RNA of Telopea speciosissima, 74 nucleotides long. The record is from the annotation of a RefSeq genome assembly. Lineage: Eukaryota; Viridiplantae; Streptophyta; Magnoliopsida; Proteales; Proteaceae.
GGCCUUUUAGCUCAGUUGGUUAAAGUGUCGUGUUAAUAACGCGAAGGUCGCAGGUUCAAGACCUGCAUGGGCCA